RNAcentral lists this ribosomal RNA (352 nucleotides) under uncultured bacterium. RNAcentral describes it as "bacterial SSU rRNA". It matches the Rfam family "Bacterial small subunit ribosomal RNA", at positions 8 to 350 of the family's 1533-position model. The record is from RNAcentral.
AGAGUUUGAUCCUGGCUCAGGAUGAACGCUAGCUACAGGCUUAACACAUGCAAGUCGAGGGGAAACGACAUCGAAAGCUUGCUUUUGAUGGGCGUCGACCGGCGCACGGGUGAGUAACGCGUAUCCAACCUGCCCAUCACUUGGGGAUAACCUUGCGAAAGUAAGACUAAUACCCAAUGAUAUCUCUAGAAGGCAUCUGAAAGAGAUUAAAGAUUUAUCGGUGAUGGAUGGGGAUGCGUCUGAUUAGCUUGUUGGCGGGGUAACGGCCACCAAAGCAACGAUCAGUAGGGGUUCUGAGAGGAAGGUCCCCACAUUGGAACUGAGACACGGUCCAAACUCCUAGUGGGAGGCA